UACGUAGGGUCCGAGCGUUGUCCGGAAUUAUUGGGCGUAAAGAGCUCGUAGGCGGUCUGUCGCGUCGGCUGUGAAAACCCGGGGCUCAACUCCGGGCCUGCAGUCGAUACGGGCAGACUAGAGUUCGGUAGGGGAGACUGGAAUUCCUGGUGUAGCGGUGAAAUGCGUAGAUAUCGUAAGGAAGACCAGUGGCGAAGGCGGGUCUCUGGACAGUUCCUGACGCUGAGGCACGAAGGUCAGGGGAGCAAACGGG
RNAcentral lists this ribosomal RNA (253 nucleotides) under uncultured bacterium. RNAcentral's name for it is "partial 16S ribosomal RNA". It matches the Rfam family "Bacterial small subunit ribosomal RNA", at positions 524 to 776 of the family's 1533-position model. The record is from RNAcentral.